ACGGAGGAUGCGAGCGUUAUCCGGAUUUAUUGGGUUUAAAGGAUGCGUAGGCGGAAAAAUAAGUCAGUGGUGAAAACAUUCAGCUUAACUGGAGACUUGCCAUUGAUACUGUUAUUCUUGAGUAUAGUUAAGGUAGGCGGAAUGUGUAAUGUAGCGGUGAAAUGCGUAGAUAUUACACAGAACACCAAAUGCGGAGGCAGCUUAAUGAGCUAUAACUGACGCUGAUGCACGUAAGCGUGGGGAGCGUACAG
RNAcentral lists this ribosomal RNA (251 nucleotides) under uncultured prokaryote. RNAcentral's name for it is "partial 16S rRNA". It matches the Rfam family "Bacterial small subunit ribosomal RNA", at positions 525 to 775 of the family's 1533-position model. The record is from RNAcentral.